GGGGGCCGGACUGCUUGGGGUGAGGCUGGGCAUCGGUCAGCGAGUGGCACUUUCUGACAGAAUUGCCCAUUAAAAUGAGAAAGCAAUCUGCUCCCAGAUACCCUGGCCAGAACUUGAAAAAUGACUGGAAGACUUCAUAAAACUCCUAAUACUCAGAUCCUCCAAGGUUAUACACGUCUCACUCAAUCUCCCAUCUCAAGCUUCACAGAAAACUUGCAUGGAACUGCUCUCCUAACCAUUGACUUUGGCUUCAUUGGGAUGGCAUAACAUCAACGUAACCACCUUGGUUGCGGACUACACCAGCAUGUACAGCUGCUCGGCAGAUACUGGAUAUCUAAGAAAGAAAGAGGGAAAAAAAUAAAGAAGGGAGAAGUAUGAGAUUUUAUCCAUCCAUUCCUGCAUUCCACUCCUUUGCUUGCUUCUCCACAUCUUCCAGCUAGAAAGCUAGGAGUCACAGCCAAACACCAAACAAGUCCACGGACCCAAGUGCUACAUGAAGCAAUGUUUUCCUAGCAGUUCUGGCUUUGUGCUUGCUUCCUGUAUUGGCGGUAGGAUUGCUAUGAAAGUACUCCUGUGGAUACCUCCAGCUUAGCUUGCGGUAAAUCAUGCUACAGAGUAUUUACCUUUGACUCAUCUAUGGUUUUCAGAACUGUUACAGAUUUACUUCCUCAAAAUAUUGAGGCAUAGGCUUCUUUCAAUAAGUGAAAACAUAAGCUUCAAAGAAAUGGCACAUUUCUUUGACUGAAAGCAGUUAACUGACUUGCAGACCAUACCUGACCUUAACAAUAUAUACUUCAAUCAUUUUGCAAAUAUAUUUGCUCACUCCAAAAUUCCCAAACAAUUUGAUAACUUCUAUGACAAAUAUUUUUAUCAGUUCCUUUUAUUGUAUCUGUUUUACAGGUAAAUAAAUUGAAAUAACAUGUCUUUUGCUCUAGGUGCAUAGAUUUAAUAGUGGAAAAUUAAAAGGAAAAAUGGAUCUUUCCUCACAGUGUUUAGACUAACCAAAUCUUCACUAAGAUAUAACAAGAGAGCAAAGAAAGAUCAGGAGCUUCUCCUUGUGAAAAGAGCCUGCAGAUUAUCUUUCACUUACCUGGCCUUCUAUUUACACCAAAGACAAAUAUGUUAGUAAAACAUUUAUGACUUCACUUUUACAGCUUUUACUGUCACCUUUGUCAAUGACAAUUACAGAUAAUUAUUAUCUGAUGGAAAAUAUGGGAGCACUUUGUAAUAAUAAAAGAUUCAAAGAAUUUUACCUUGGACAGUGUGAGGCUGGUUUUUGAAAAGGACACAAUUGUUCUACUGUUGUUUCACAGGUGAUAGCUUGAACUGAAUAAAGUAAAACAGAAACCAAUUAAUGUGUGCUAUUUAGAAAACUGUAAUUCAAAGUAACUGAGUUUAUAAGAAAUAAAUACUAACCUGUAACUUUAGAGACUGUGAAGGAAUUGGCAGAUUGGUAUUUUCUAAACAAGAAAUAAUAGAAAUAGUCAAUAAAUAACAUCUUUUAAUGCUUUAUGUCUUUUAUGUCAUUUUAGCUAGUCAAUUUUUUAUUAGUAAAUAUAGAAGAAAAUUCAAGACAUUGUCUCCUUUGUUAACGAAGGAGACAAUGUCUCCUUCACUUAUUCCUCACUUACGUCUUCUUAACGAAGAAUUAUGUACUAUUGUGCUACACAGAAGCAGAAGUUUGCUGAAACGAUGAAGAGAAGGUAUAGGCUUGGUCCUUUAUUUAUGUAUUAUGUACUAUGUAUUUAUGUAAUAUGUAUUUAAUCCAUAAGGCCUCUAACAUAUUUUUUCUAGCACCUCAAUCACAAAACCAAAACCAAAUUAGACAUUACUGUCAGCUAUGAUACAAUUAUUAUCUGUACCCACAGUAAACAAAAAUGAGUUUGGAUACCUCACUCCUGUGUUCUGAUACUCAGAAGAUAGUGCCAAACACGCUCUGUAGAACAGACACUCGUAUGGUUUUGUCUCAGAUGGCAUAGAAAUACACAGAUUUCAAGUGAUGGGAAAUCAAUUCCUUUCACUUUGAAAAAAAUCUGUAGUUUAAUUACCACUACUUUUGUAAGAAAGUUGACUCCUAAUCCAUCAGUAUCUAUUUGCUUAUCUCUUUGUCUCGAAAAGAUUUUAAAAAGAGAUAAUUGCAUCUUCAUUUUAAGGAGGGGUAAUUUAAACCACAGUCAAAUAAUCUGAUGACCCAAAGAAACACAUUACUUAAUUGACAAUUAAUUCAUUAUUUAAUCAAUUAAUAUCAAUGCCUGAAACAGUGCUUUCUAGGCCUCUGAAUUUAGUCUACCUAGCCAGUGUUUCCUUCUAUUCUGAAUUACGUAAAUCUGUUGACAAGAGAAAUUAUGACAGGUUUUACAGCAUGUGAAAUCAGUUUGCAGAGAACAGAGAGACACAGAGACACAGCAGAAACUAAAUACAUCAUUCAAUAUAAUUCUGUUUUCUUUCAAUACGGUAUUACUCAUACCCUCUUGCAUGUACGCUACUAUUACACAUACACUAACAUACAGCAAUGUACAACUCUCCAGAAUACAUUAAGAUAUAGUGAAGUGUAGUUUGCAGAUAUUAUUAGUAUCUUAGAUUCCAGCAUACUUUAGUUAUUAAUGGAUAUUUAUACAUGGUAGCAGUCAAGCUGAGAGACUCUACUUUUAUGUACUUCUUCUCUGGUUUUGCUUUCAGCAUGUCAGUGAGUAUUUGGAUCUAUUUUCACAUACCAGUCUCUGGAUAAGCACCUGAACAGUGUAGUACAAAGUCCAAAUUAAUUUUCCACAGCAUGCAGUAUUAUUCUGUUUUUGGCCAAUGCAGAAAUUGAGCAAAGUUUUGUGCAAAAUAUCAUAAGUAUAUUAUGGAAUUGUAAUGAAACUAUCAAAAAUGUAAGUAGAGAUGUUGGUUGUAUUACCAGCUUUGUAAUAACAAAUAUAGUAAAUGUAAAAACAUUUAAAAUAAUCUAGUUUAGCGUCAGUGUGUACUACUUUUUUACAAUAAAUCAUUUACAUUUACAAACAAA
Molecule: non-coding RNA, 3007 nt
Organism: Anas platyrhynchos (mallard)
Lineage: Eukaryota; Metazoa; Chordata; Aves; Anseriformes; Anatidae
Source: RefSeq, a predicted model, not a curated record